Non-coding RNA from Mus pahari (shrew mouse), 606 nucleotides. Lineage: Eukaryota; Metazoa; Chordata; Mammalia; Rodentia; Muridae. The record is from the annotation of a RefSeq genome assembly.
AUAAUCCACACAUACUCAGGGAAAGUUCCAAGAUGGUGUUCACACCUCAGCUCCUUGGACUUCUGCUUUUCUGGAUUUCAGCCUCCAGGGGUGAUAUUGUGCUAACUCAGUCUCCAGCCACCCUGUCUGUGACUCCAGGAGAAAGCAUCAGUGUUUCCUGCAGGGCCAGCCAAAGUAUUAGCAACAACCUACACUGGUAUCAACAAAAAUCAAAUGAGUCUCCAAGGCUUCUCAUCAAGUAUGCUUCCCAGUCCAUCUCUGGGAUCCCGUCCAGGUUCACUGGCAGUGGAUCAGGGACAGAUUUCACUCUCAGCAUCAACAGUGUGGAACCCGAAGAUUUUGGAAUGUAUCACUGUCAACAGAGUAACAGCUGGCCUCACACUGUGAUGCAGACCAUAGCAAAAACCACCAGGAAUGCAGAACAGCGAGGCUUCAGCUGUUUUUGGUGGUACCUCAACCUUCUUCAUAGUGGAAACAAAACUAAUGGGGCCUGCUCCUAUAGCCUGCUUGACACUCAGACACCAAUGAUGACAGACAAAGUUCAUGAUCAGAGCAACCAAUCAGAUAGUACCAACUACAUGGAGGCCAACAUGGCCUCAGUGGAGG